Molecule: transfer RNA, 74 nt
Filed under: Neobacillus drentensis
Lineage: Bacteria; Bacillati; Bacillota; Bacilli; Caryophanales; Bacillaceae
Also listed under: 4 other names
Description: tRNA-Arg
Rfam family: tRNA
About the family: Transfer RNA (tRNA) molecules are approximately 80 nucleotides in length. Their secondary structure includes four short double-helical elements and three loops (D, anti-codon, and T loops).
Source: RNAcentral
GCGCCUUUAGCUCAGCUGGAUAGAGCAUACGCCUUCUAAGCGUAGGGUCAGAGGUUCGAAUCCUCUAAGGCGCG